GCAUAUCAAUAAGCGGAGGAAAAGAAACCAACAGGGAUUGCCUCAGUAACGGCGAGUGAAGCGGCAAAAGCUCAAAUUUGAAAUCUAGCACCUUCGGUGUUCGAGUUGUAAUUUGAAGAUGGUAACCUUGGGUUUGGCUCUUGUCUAUGUUCCUUGGAACAGGACGUCAUAGAGGGUGAGAAUCCCGUCUGAUGAGAUGCCCAUUCCUAUGUAAGGUGCUAUCGAAGAGUCGAGUUGUUUGGGAAUGCAGCUCUAAGUGGGUGGUAAAUUCCAUCUAAAGCUAAAUAUUGGCGAGAGACCGAUAGCGAACAAGUACAGUGAUGGAAAGAUGAAAAGAACUUUGAAAAGAGAGUGAAAAAGUACGUGAAAUUGUUGAAAGGGAAGGGCAUUAGAUCAGACUUGGUGUUUUACGAUUAUCUUCUCUUCUUGAGUUGUGCACUCGUAUUUCACUGGGCCAGCAUCGAUUCGGAUGGUAAGAUAAUGACAGUUGAACGUGGCUCCAUUCGUGGAGUGUUAUAGCUUCUGUUUAUAUUGCCUGUCUGGAUCGAGGGCUGCGUCUUUUGACUAGGAUGCUGGCGUAAUGAUCUAAUGCCGCCCGUCUU
This is a ribosomal RNA of 602 nucleotides. It matches the Rfam family "Eukaryotic large subunit ribosomal RNA", at positions 38 to 655 of the family's 3401-position model.